CAGCAGCCGCGGUAAUACGAGGGGGGCAAGCGUUGUUCGGAAUUAUUGGGCGUAAAGGGCGCGUAGGCGGUUUGGCAAGUUUGGUGUGAAAUCUUCGGGCUCAACUCGAAGUCUGCACCGAAAACUGCCGGGCUUGAGUAUGGGAGAGGUGAGUGGAAUUUCCGGUGUAGCGGUGAAAUGCGUAGAUAUCGGAAGGAACACCUGUGGCGAAAGCGGCUCACUGGACCAUUACUGACGCUGAGGCGCGAAAGCUAGGGGAGCAAACAGGAUUAGAUACCCCUGUAGUCCCUGUCUCUUAUAC
This 301-nucleotide ribosomal RNA is filed under the name uncultured bacterium. RNAcentral's name for it is "partial 16S ribosomal RNA". It matches the Rfam family "Bacterial small subunit ribosomal RNA", at positions 509 to 807 of the family's 1533-position model. The record is from RNAcentral.